Molecule: ribosomal RNA, 494 nt
Filed under: uncultured bacterium
Lineage: Bacteria
Description: partial 16S ribosomal RNA
Rfam family: Bacterial small subunit ribosomal RNA
Source: RNAcentral
GACGAACGCUGGCGGCGCGCUUAACACAUGCAAGUCGAACGGAAAGGCCUGCUUUCCCUUGUGGAUUGCGGGUACUCGAGUGGCGAACGGGUGAGUAACACGUGAGUGAUCUGCCCCCAACUUGGGUAUAAGCCUGGGAAACUGGGUCUAAUUCCCGAUAGGACUGCAGGGUGGUGCCUGUGGUGGAAAACGAUUUUCUAGUGGUUGGGGAUGAGCUCGCGGCCUAUCAGCUUGUUGGUGGGGUAAUGGCCUACCAAGGCGGCGACGGGUAGCCGGCCUGAGAGGGUGGACGGCGACAUUGGGACUGGGAUACGGCCCAGACUCCUACGGGAGGCAGCAGUGGGGAAUAUUGCACAAUGGGCGGAAGCCUGAUGCAGCGACGCAGCGUGGGGGAUGACGGCCUUCGGGUUGUAAGCUCCUUUCGACCGCGAGGAAGCCACCUGGUUGGAAGGGUGGUGACGGUAGUGGUAGAAGAAGCACCGGCUAACUACGUG